CCAAAGUGCUGGGAGUACAGGCGUGAGCCACUGCGCCUGGCCGGGAGGGUGGCUCUUGACUUACAGGGCCUCCCCUCCCCUCCAAGGUCUUCUUUAAUUCUGCACAUUAUUUUAAUUAUUUCUAACAAGUACCUUGAUCUUCAUUUGUGAAAUCUAGUGACCCAAAGGCAGCUCCCAACCUCCCUGGGAGUUGAUAGGGGUGGGGUUGGGAAGAGAGGGGAGAGAGGAAGAGCUGCUCUUCCCAAGAAGGGUUUUUGUUUUGUUUUGUGUUUAUUUGUUUUGGCUUUUGGUUUUUAGUAGAUGGGGGAUGUACACGUGAGAGAGACAGAAAAGGGGAGAAAAAGAAGAAGAAAAGGGAGAGGAAAAGGUAAAAGAAAAGAAGAGAAUGAAUUGCAGCUGAGGAAGUGGAAGAGCGAGAAGCGCUUCCAGAUACCAGACUUAACAGGUGGAUUUUUGGGUUUGCUGAAGAAGAAAAAGAAGGAGAAGGAGAAGGAGAAGAAGAAGAGAAGUGUGAUUAACAAGAAAAAAACUUAUUUGGGGGCUAUGAACACCUUGAAUAUUUAACAGAAUAUCAGCUACUCAUCUGUAACCAUUCACUACAUAGCUAAACUUUUAGUAAUAAUGUAGGUAUUCUCUGGCCAAGAGAAAGAUAGGAUGUGUGUGUGUGUGUGUGUGUGUGUGUGUGUGUGUGUGUGUGUGUGUGUUUAACAGAAGAAAAUGGAAAGAAAAUAAAAUAAAGGAUAUUUUGGAGUCAGUGAGUAAAUAUUUACUUUUAGAGUAUAGCAUGUUUUAAUGGAAUAUGAUGUGUAGGACUGGAG
Molecule: long non-coding RNA, 818 nt
Filed under: Homo sapiens (human)
Lineage: Eukaryota; Metazoa; Chordata; Mammalia; Primates; Hominidae
Description: HSALNT0293238
Source: RNAcentral